ACGGUCGGCAGCACGGUCGCUCGUGGUCAGUACCGAGUUCAAUGUCAAUAUCAGAGGAACUGCAAUUAUUGCCGCUGCAAUAGUGCCAUCAUCGCAUUUCGCAAUCACAGUUCUUGGAUAUUUGGCGGUAUANACCAUACAUAGACUUCCGUGUGCGACGAUAUUUUGUUUGUUUUUCAACUCGAUUUCCGUCUCAACGUACCUAUACAUCCGUUUCGCAUCCACAACGAGUUCGCAAACGUUUUACAUUCGUAUUUAUAUAUUACGCGAGUUUCGGCGUUUGUCGCCAAUUCGUAGUAUACCUACGAGGUACCUUUAAACGCGUUAAUUCUCGUCAUCCGUAUCGUUCAACAUGUACGUGAACCCGUGGAUCAGGAAACACUCGACCAUCAGACAAGUGAUCGACAAGCUGCUGUCGAUCAACACCAACAAGACGAAGAAGUUCGACGCUAUGCUGAACAAAAAAAAGCACACCAGAAGUAACAGGACUACGACGACGGCGGCGGCGGCGGCGGCGGCGGUGGCGACGGACAAACGACGAAAAUGUUAGCAUCAGCCAGGCGUGAGACGAAAGUCGUGCAGCGGUUUUGAUUUUUUCGCGCACGGUCGAGUAGAGUAACGCUACAAGAAAAUAUGUCCGUCCAAAAAUGUUCCUAUAUCUAUAUAAAAAUAUAUAUAUUAUAUUAUCACCGUCCAUACAGCAAAUAUUACGAUAUUUGUAGUAUACCGUGGUAAUCACGACGUUUAUGAUAAACCUAUACGCCAGAGAGAGAGACGCUGCAGUUUCCCCCAACGCCACCGCCUAAGCAUAUAAUAUAAUAUAAUGCACCUAUGUCAAAUAUAUUAUAUACGUUUACUAUACGUUUCGUACCCACGUAUCGUAGUAUAACCCAUACUAUAAUAUUAUAGCUGUAUAAUAAUAUAAUAUAUAAUAAUCAAGACCACAAACAAAGACGUCCACCGUAUCCAAUAUUUUGAUGAACGAUAUUAUAAUAUGAUAUUAUGUACACCGNUUGUAAAUAUAUUUAAAUAUAUAUAAUGUGCCGUACAAGUCUAUGCCACGUCUCAAACAUCGAGUACGCGAGCUGUCUUUCGGGAUCGAACGGAUAUAAUNAUUUAAGCAACACAACAUUCGNAACAUAAUGUGGCCACAGUGUUGUACGAUGUACCCACGUGGCCACGUNACGUAUUCUGCAACUGGUCCACAUUACCGUCAAUUUAGUCAAAAUGGAUUUGGAUUUCACCUAAGUAGAAUAUCAUCAUAAUCACCAUCUUCAUCAUCAUCAUCAUCAUCAUAAUAUUAUUAUUAUAUUGCCGAUCACGGAGACGGAUUCGCAUUCUUGCGAGACAAUGGACGACGACGCAUCGUCUGCAGCCAAGUCAAAUUUACGUAAAAGCAGAUUAAAAUUGUAUUUGGUCAUACAGUUAAGUCAGAAAAUCAAUCGGAAUUACGAAUACUACUUGGAAAUGUAUAAAGAAACUUUUAUUUAAAUUAUUUUCGACGUAUGUGCUCGUAAUGUUAUUUUUAUUUUUACGUGUAAUUUUAUUUUAU
This 1552-nucleotide long non-coding RNA is filed under the name Diuraphis noxia (Russian wheat aphid). RNAcentral's name for it is "uncharacterized LOC107166443". Lineage: Eukaryota; Metazoa; Arthropoda; Insecta; Hemiptera; Aphididae. The record is from RNAcentral.